RNAcentral lists this ribosomal RNA (546 nucleotides) under Triticum aestivum (bread wheat). Its description in RNAcentral is "partial small subunit ribosomal RNA". The record is from RNAcentral. Lineage: Eukaryota; Viridiplantae; Streptophyta; Magnoliopsida; Poales; Poaceae.
AUGUUAUCCACUCUGAAGGAAAACUUGGCACAGGCCCAAGGGCGCAUGAAAAAAUAUGCUGACAGGAAGAGACUCGAGAGGCAAUUUGAAGUUGGGGAUAUGGUUUACUUGCGAAUGCAACCCUACAGAAUGGCUGCCUUCAGAAUUCGCCAAGCCAUGAAGCUCACAACAAAGUUCUACGGCCCUUAUCGUAUAUUGGAAAAGAUUGGCCGUGUAGCUUACAAACUCCAACUUCCAACGAAUGUGGGCAUCCAUCCUGUAUUCCACGUGAGCCAGUUGAAAAAGCACCUUGGCUCUCAUGCAAUACCCAGUCCAGAUCUCCCUCUUGUGGGCACAGAUGGCAGGAUCAAAACCGAACCCUUGGCUGUCCUGGAAACCCGAUCGUUGCCCAGGAAUGGGGUUCUGGUCACACAAUGGUCGUCGAGUGGGAGAACCUCAAGCCAGAAGAUGCAACCAACUUGGGAGGAUGCCAACUUCAUGAAGCAAGUUUUCCCAGCCUUCUUCGCAAACACCAUCAAGAGUUGGUUCCCAGAUCGGAAUACUUGA